AUACGGAGGGCGCAAGCGUUGUUCGGAAUCAUUGGGCGUAAAGCGCGUGUAGGCGGCUUGGCAAGUCGGAUGUGAAAUCCCGGGGCUCAACCCCGGAACUGCACUCGAAACUGCCUAGCUGGAGUCCCGGAGAGGAGAGCGGAAUUCCCGGUGUAGAGGUGAAAUUCGUAGAUAUCGGGAGGAACACCAGCGGCGAAGGCGGCUCUCUGGACGGUGACUGACGCUGAGACGCGAAAGCGUGGGGAGCAAACAGGAUUAGAAACCCCGGUAGUCC
This 274-nucleotide ribosomal RNA is filed under the name uncultured bacterium. Its description in RNAcentral is "partial 16S ribosomal RNA". It matches the Rfam family "Bacterial small subunit ribosomal RNA", at positions 523 to 796 of the family's 1533-position model. The record is from RNAcentral.